CCUACGGGAGGCAGCAGUGAGGAAUAUUGGUCAAUGGCCGGAAGGCUGAACCAGCCAUGCCGCGUGAAGGUCAGUGCCCUAUGGGCGUUAAACUUCUUUUGUGCGGGAGCAAUAAUGGUCACGUGUGGCCAGACGAGAGUACCGUACGAAUAAGCAUCGGCUAACUCCGUGCCAGCAGCCGCGGUAAUACGGGGGAUGCAAGCGUUAUCCGGAUUUUUUGGGUUUAAAGGGGGCGUAGGCUGUGAGGUAAGUCAGCGGUGAAAUGCCCCCGCUCAACGGGGUGAAGUGCCAUUGAUACUGGCUUGCUUGAAUGCGGAUGCCGUGGGAGGAAUGUGUGGUGUAGCGGUGAAAUGCAUAGAUAUCACACAGAACACCGAUUGCGAAGGCAGCUCACGAAUCCGCGAUUGACGCUGAGGCACGAAAGCGUGGGUAUCAAACAGGAUUAGAUACCCUUGUAGUC
RNAcentral lists this ribosomal RNA (460 nucleotides) under uncultured bacterium. Its description in RNAcentral is "partial 16S ribosomal RNA". It matches the Rfam family "Bacterial small subunit ribosomal RNA", at positions 338 to 795 of the family's 1533-position model. The record is from RNAcentral.